CGGGGUGUGGCUCAGUUUGGCUAGAGCGCCGUCUUAGGGAGGCGGAGGCCGCAAGUUCAAAUCUUGUCACUCCGA
RNAcentral lists this transfer RNA (75 nucleotides) under Lachnospiraceae bacterium. RNAcentral's name for it is "tRNA-Pro". It matches the Rfam family "tRNA". Rfam says of the family: Transfer RNA (tRNA) molecules are approximately 80 nucleotides in length. Lineage: Bacteria; Bacillati; Bacillota; Clostridia; Lachnospirales; Lachnospiraceae. The record is from RNAcentral.